RNAcentral lists this ribosomal RNA (586 nucleotides) under uncultured bacterium. RNAcentral's name for it is "partial 16S ribosomal RNA". It matches the Rfam family "Bacterial small subunit ribosomal RNA", at positions 355 to 1375 of the family's 1533-position model. The record is from RNAcentral.
UGGGGAAUUUUGGACAAUGGGCGAAAGCCUGAUCCAGCAAUGCCGCGUGUGUGAAGAAGGCCUUCGGGUUGUAAAGCACUUUUGUCCGGAAAGAAAUCCUUGGCUCUAAUACAGUCGGGGGAUGACGGUACCGGAAGAAUAAGCACCGGCUAACUACGUGCCAGCAGCCGCGGUAAUACGUAGGGUGCAAGCGUUAAUCGGAAUUACUGGGCGUAAAGCGUGCGCAGGCGGUUUGCUAAGACCGAUGUGAAAUCCCCGGGCUCAACCUGGGAACUGCAUUGGUGACUGGCAGGCUAGAGUAUGGCAGAGGGGGGUAGAAUUCCACGUGUAGCAGUGAAAUGCGUAGAGAUGUGGAGGAAUACCGAUGGCGAAGGCAGCCCCCUGGGCCAAUACUGACGCUCAUGCACGAAAGCGUGGGGAGCAAACAGGAUUAGAUACCCUGGUAGUCCACGCCCUAAACGAUGUCAACUAGUCGUUGGGGAUUCAUUUCCUUAGUAACGUAGCUAACGCGUGAAGUUGACCGCCUGGGGGAGUACGGUCGCAAGAUUAAAACUCAAAGGAAUUGACGGGGUCAUAGCUGUUUCCU